AGAGUUUGAUCAUGGCUCAGAACGAACGCUGGCGGCAUGCCUAACACAUGCAAGUCGAACGCUCAUCCGGGCUUCGGUUCGGGUGGGAGUGGCGCACGGGUGAGUAGCGCGUGGGAACCUGCCCUGUUGUGGGGGAUAACCGAGGGAAACUUCGGCUAAUACCGCAUGCGCCCCCGAGAGAGAUCUCGGGGGGAAAGAUUUAUCGCAGCAGGAGGGGCCCGCGUCGGAUUAGGUAGUUGGUGGGGUAACGGCCUACCAAGCCGAUGAUCCGUAGCUGGUCUGAGAGGAUGAUCAGCCACACUGGGACUGAGACACGGCCCAGACUCCUACGGGAGGCAGCAGUGGGGAAUAUUGGACAAUGGGCGCAAGCCUGAUCCAGCAAUGCCGCGUGAGUGAUGAAGGCCUUAGGGUUGUAAAGCUCUUUCGCCCGCGACGAUGAUGACGGUAGCGGGAGAAGAAGCCCCGGCUAACUUCGUGCCAGCAGCCGCGGUAAUACGAAGGGGGCGAGCGUUGUUCGGAUUUACUGGGCGUAAAGGGCGCGUAGGCGGCGCAGGAAGUCAGGCGUGAAAGCCCCGGGCUCAACCUGGGAGGUGCGCUUGGGACUCUUGUGCUGGAGUUCGGGAGAGGAGAGCGGAAUUCCCAGUGUAGAGGUGAAAUUCGUAGAUAUUGGGAAGAACACCGGUGGCGAAGGCGGCUCUCUGGACCGAGACUGACGCUGAGGCGCGAAAGCGUGGGGAGCAAACAGGAUUAGAUACCCUGGUAGUCCACGCCGUAAACGAUGUGUGCUAGACGUUGGGGAGCCUAGCUCUUCGGUGUCGCCGCAAACGCAUUAAGCACACCGCCUGGGGAGUACGGCCGCAAGGUUAAAACUCAAGGAAUUGACGGGGCCUGCACAGCGGUGGAGCAUGUGGUUUAAUUCGACGCACGCGAGACCUUACCAGCUCUUGACAUGCCUCGUAUGAUGCAGA
Molecule: ribosomal RNA, 968 nt
Filed under: uncultured bacterium
Lineage: Bacteria
Description: bacterial SSU rRNA
Rfam family: Bacterial small subunit ribosomal RNA
Source: RNAcentral